Artibeus jamaicensis (Jamaican fruit-eating bat) is the source of this 1268-nucleotide long non-coding RNA. RefSeq lists it as uncharacterized. The transcript is spliced from 4 exons. The record is from RefSeq and is a predicted model, not a curated record. NCBI's taxonomy places the organism in Eukaryota, Metazoa, Chordata, Mammalia, Chiroptera, Phyllostomidae.
CUCACAGCGAGAGAUUUCCGUGAGUGACUCGUCCUCUGAGAUCCUGCACAGAUAAAUGUCUCCGCAACAGUUUCUACCCCUCCCUGGAGGUGGAUGCCUGGUUUUACAAUAGCCAACAUUACUCUGGACCAGGUAGCCCUGGGAAAGGAGAAAUGAGCUGGCGGCUUGCCCUCCUGGUAUAUCAGCAGACCGAGCCCUGGCUUCACAGAACAAGGACUAUUUGAUGCCAUCAAAUUUGACUGGAAAAAAGAAAUCUGCACAGAAUUCAUCACAUUCUCAAGUUUCAGCCUCAUCUGCUUCAGCCCGUGUUAAAUAUGGUCCCACUCGAGGGAGACACCAAGCCUAUGAUGAUGAGAAAGACGGGGAUGAGGAUGACCGUCCCAGGACCAGCACAGCCGCCAGGAGGCCUUUCCAGCUAUCUUUGCUAACCCUCCACACUCUUGGGUCAUUCUUGGUCACAAGUCAGCAAACACAGGGCCACCUACUGGGGUACUAAGUUGCCAGAAACAAUGAAUAUUGGUUUUAUGCCAGGACAUCAGAAAAAGACCUGCCCACUGGCCCAGGGAGUAGAGACCAUACUACUGUCCUGGGGGAAAACAGGGAGAGAGAGCGUCAUAUGACAAAAGCCAAAUCGAAUAGUGACUGUUGCCUGUGCUUCUUAGCAACUUACCAAGAAGGACAUCUGAUGUGGGAAUUUAAUCAAGGGACUUUCCCAAGGCACCACUAUAUUUUUUUUGGUCAGCAAAACAGAAGCAAAAUUAUCCUAAAAACAUGAGCAUAUUGGAUUUUAGAGUUAUAUCUUCCUACUUUUUGUUUAAAAAGUAACUCUAUUAACUAGAUAAUAUGAGUAUUUUUUUCCACUUUCUGCUUCAAACCGCCAGUGUUGAAAAUAAGCCAGUCUGGUUUAGGAUGUGGGCCUGCUGGUAGGAAGCCACACCCAACAACCAGAAGUAUAUUUUAACUCUGGCCAGUUCUUUUUAUUUAUUUUAAUCUUUUUUUGUUUGUUUUCAAGUUUUAUUUUAACUGUUGUACAGUUUUCUGUCUUUUGCUGCUAUCCCAGGCCACCCCCCAUUUCCACCCCCCUUGUUAUUGUCCAUGUGUGCUUUAUACUUGUUCCUGUAAACCUUUCCCCUUUUCUCCUGAAAUUCCCUCCCCUAUCCCUUGUUCCAAUCUUUUAAGUAUAUUUUAUUGAUUAAUGGCUAGUCCUUUUUAAUGAGAACAUAGUCAGCAUGGAAGGAAACAAAAUACACUAUCAAUAAAAAUAUAUU